RNAcentral lists this long non-coding RNA (874 nucleotides) under Sinocyclocheilus anshuiensis. RNAcentral's name for it is "lncRNA (ENSSANG00000008334.1)". The record is from RNAcentral. Lineage: Eukaryota; Metazoa; Chordata; Actinopteri; Cypriniformes; Cyprinidae.
GGAGGUGAUGGUGGUGGUCACGUGGCGCGGCUCUCGCGAAGCUGCGGGGUAAAGGUGGCACACACAGACACAGGGAACUUAGAGCGCGACACUUCAUACACCUCCACAGACCUCUCUCCAACCGAGUUCAACACACAAAUCAUGUCUAUUAGCCGGAAAAACUGGUCUGCUUUAUCAACGCUGGCUCGACAGUGGACUGUUGAGGAUGAGGAAGAGGUGGAGAGAGAGAAGAGGAGGAAGACAAGGGAGUCUACGGCAGACAUGGAUGAAAGUCCCACUGAAGAGACCAAACCACAAACCAGUAGUGUUAGCGGGCCUGCUGAUGCUGGCGACUCCGGUGGCGGUCUGGCCCAGCUGCAGAUGGACUUUGUGGAGAUGUUGCAAGUCCGUGAUGAACGGAGGAGGAUGAGGCACGUUGAAACCCUGAGGAAGAAUAAGGAGGAAGAUGAUGGGGGCAAAGAGACCAACCCGGAUGCGGAGCCCCAUGUGGAGCUGCUGGGGGACCAGCAGGACGAGGAACUCUUCAAGAACAUUCAGCGCUGCGUGGAGACCUUCAUGUCAGCAGAACCUCCCACCAACUCCAGAGACUCAGAGACACAGGAGAAGCAAGAAAAUGGAGGCACGAACCAAGAUUCAACAUCAACAAACUCCCAACCCCCCUCAAAAGCAUCCAGAAAGUUUGUGAGCUCUCUCUCCAUCUCCUUUGAUAAGAGUCCCACAUCACCCUCAGCAACCAGCAGACUGGUUUCUCCUCUAAGCCCCAAGUCUCCGCCCCCUCAGUCCCCGAGGGCGGAGUCACCACGCAGCCCCACCCACUCCGGCUCUAUGAGCCCCACACCGAAUGGAGACGCAGCGGUGAGACUGCCACGAUUCA